This 780-nucleotide ribosomal RNA is filed under the name Listeria monocytogenes. Its description in RNAcentral is "partial 23S ribosomal RNA". It matches the Rfam family "Bacterial large subunit ribosomal RNA", at positions 1 to 777 of the family's 2925-position model. Lineage: Bacteria; Bacillati; Bacillota; Bacilli; Caryophanales; Listeriaceae. The record is from RNAcentral.
GGUUAAGUUAGAAAGGGCGCACGGUGGAUGCCUUGGCACUAGGAGCCGAAGAAGGACGGGACUAACACCGAUAUGCUUUGGGGAGCUGUACGUAAGCGUUGAUCCAGAGAUUUCCGAAUGGGGGAACCCACUAUCUUUAGUCGGAUAGUAUCCUUACGUGAAUACAUAGCGUGAGGAAGGCAGACCCAGGGAACUGAAACAUCUAAGUACCUGGAGGAAGAGAAAGAAAAAUCGAUUUCCUGAGUAGCGGCGAGCGAAACGGAAAGAGCCCAAACCAAGAAGCUUGCUUCUUGGGGUUGUAGGACACUCUAUACGGAGUUACAAAAGAAAGUUAUAAAUGAAGCGGUCUGGAAAGGCCCGCCAAAGACGGUAACAGCCCGGUAGUUGAAAUGGCUUUCCCUCCAGAGUGGAUCCUGAGUACGGCGGAACACGUGAAAUUCCGUCGGAAUCCGGGAGGACCAUCUCCCAAGGCUAAAUACUCCCUAGUGACCGAUAGUGAACCAGUACCGUGAGGGAAAGGUGAAAAGCACCCCGGAAGGGGAGUGAAACAGUUCCUGAAACCGUGUGCCUACAAGUAGUUAGAGCCCGUUAAUGGGUGAUAGCGUGCCUUUUGUAGAAUGAACCGGCGAGUUACGAUUUGUUGCAAGGUUAAGCGGAAAAAGCGGAGCCGUAGCGAAAGCGAGUCUGAAUAGGGCGCAUAAGUAACAGGUCGUAGACCCGAAACCAGGUGAUCUACCCAUGUCCAGGAUGAAGGUAAGGUAAUACUUACUGGAGGUCCGA